UGCCUUACACAUGCAAGUCGAACGCGAAAGCGGGGCAACCCGCAAGUAGAGUGGCGAACGGGUGAGUAAUACAUCGGAACGUGUCCAGUAGCGGGGGAUAACCUCUCGAAAGAGAGGCUAAUACCGCAUACGACCUACGGGUGAAAGAGGGGGAUCGCAAGACCUCUCACUAUUGGAGCGGCCGAUGUCGGAUUAGCUAGUUGGCGGGGUAAAAGCCCACCAAGGCGACGAUCCGUAGCUGGUCUGAGAGGACGACCAGCCACACUGGAACUGAGACACGGUCCAGACUCCUACGGGAGGCAGCAGUGGGGAAUUUUGGACAAUGGGCGCAAGCCUGAUCCAGCCAUGCCGCGUGAGUGAAGAAGGCCUUCGGGUUGUAAAGCUCUUUCGGCUGGGACGAAAAGGUUCGUGUCAACACCACGGAUCCAUGACGGUACCAGCAGAAGAAGCACCGGCUAACUACGUGCCAGCAGCCGCGGUAAUACGUAGGGUGCAGGCGUUAAUCGGAAUUACUGGGCGUAAAGCGUGCGCAGGCGGUUUGCUAAGACAGGUGUGAAAUCCCCGGGCUUAACCUGGGAACUGCGCUUGUAACUGGCAAGCUGGAGUGUGGCAGAGGGGGGUGGAAUUCCACGUGUAGCAGUGAAAUGCGUAGAGAUGUGGAGGAACACCGAUGGCGAAGGCAGCCCCCUGGGCUAACACUGACGCUCAUGCACGAAAGCGUGGGGAGCAAACAGGAUUAGAUACCCUGGUAGUCCACGCCCUAAACUAUGUCAACUGGUUGUCGGGGAAGCAAUUCCUUGGUAACGAAGCUAACGCGUGAAGUUGACCGCCUGGGGAGUACGGCCGCAAGGUUAAAACUCAAAGGAAUUGACGGGGACCCGCACAAGCGGUGGAUUAUGUGGAUUAAUUCGAUGCAACGCGAAAA
Molecule: ribosomal RNA, 925 nt
Filed under: uncultured bacterium
Lineage: Bacteria
Description: bacterial SSU rRNA
Rfam family: Bacterial small subunit ribosomal RNA
Source: RNAcentral